This 422-nucleotide ribosomal RNA is filed under the name uncultured bacterium. RNAcentral describes it as "bacterial SSU rRNA". It matches the Rfam family "Bacterial small subunit ribosomal RNA", at positions 66 to 507 of the family's 1533-position model. The record is from RNAcentral.
ACUUGUUACAUGGCACCUGAUACUUUAUUACAUUUCUAGUGGCGGACGGUGAGUAACACGUUGGAACCUGCCCCAAAGUGAGGAAUAAGCCACCGAAAGGUGGUCUAAUACUUCAUAAUAUCCAUCUCGUAUGGAUUAAAGCUUUAUGCGCUUUGGGAGGGGCCUGCGUAACAUUAGCUAGUUGGUGAGGGUAAAAGCUCACCAAGGCUUCGAUGUUUAACUGGUUUGAGAGGAUGACCAGUCACACUGGGACUGAGAUACGGCCCAGACUCCUACGGGAGGCAGCAGUAAGGAAUCUUCCACAAUGGGGCAACCCUGAUGGAGCAAUACCGCGUGCAGGAUGAAGCGUUUCGGCGUGUAAACUGCUUUUAUCACCGAAGAUUAUGACUGUAGGUGAAGAAUAAGGACCGGCUAACUACGUG